AUAGAGCAACAGCUUCUAUGCAGUUUCUUGUUAGCCCCGGUAAUCUUUCUGUACUCGCCAAAGUUAGAGAAGAUUAUCGGGGUUUUCGCUU
Molecule: antisense RNA, 91 nt
Filed under: Escherichia coli
Lineage: Bacteria; Pseudomonadati; Pseudomonadota; Gammaproteobacteria; Enterobacterales; Enterobacteriaceae
Description: CopA-like RNA
Rfam family: CopA-like RNA
About the family: In several groups of bacterial plasmids, antisense RNAs regulate copy number through inhibition of replication initiator protein synthesis. These RNAs are characterised by a long hairpin structure interrupted by several unpaired residues or bulged loops.
Source: RNAcentral